RNAcentral lists this ribosomal RNA (253 nucleotides) under uncultured bacterium. RNAcentral's name for it is "partial 16S ribosomal RNA". It matches the Rfam family "Bacterial small subunit ribosomal RNA", at positions 524 to 776 of the family's 1533-position model. The record is from RNAcentral.
UACGUAGGGGGCAAGCGUUGUCCGGAAUUAUUGGGCGUAAAGAGCGCGUAGGCGGUCCGAUAAGUCCGUUGUGAAAGUCAAAGGCUCAACCUUUGAAUGCCGAUGGAUACUGUCGAGCUAGAGUCCGGAAGAAGCGAGUGGAAUUCCUGGUGUAGCGGUGGAAUGCGCAGAUAUCAGGAGGAACACCAAUAGCGAAGGCAGCUCGCUGGGACGGUACUGACGCUAAGGCGCGAAAGCGUGGGGAGCGAACAGG